UUUAUUGGAGAGUUUGAUCCUGGCUCAGGAUGAACGCUGGCGGCGUGCCUAAUACAUGCAAGUCGAGCGAAUGGAUUAAGAGCUUGCUCUUAUGAAGUUAGCGGCGGACGGGUGAGUAACACGUGGGUAACCUGCCCAUAAGACUGGGAUAACUCCGGGAAACCGGGGCUAAUACCGGAUAACAUUUUGAACUGCAUGG
RNAcentral lists this ribosomal RNA (199 nucleotides) under Bacillus paranthracis. RNAcentral describes it as "partial 16S ribosomal RNA". It matches the Rfam family "Bacterial small subunit ribosomal RNA", at positions 1 to 193 of the family's 1533-position model. The record is from RNAcentral. Lineage: Bacteria; Bacillati; Bacillota; Bacilli; Caryophanales; Bacillaceae.